CCGCCCCCCGCGCCUGCCGUGCGAUGACGCAGCCGCGCCGCGACGUGGGGAUUCCGCCGGAUUACCCGGCGUGCCCCGCGGCAAAAUGGCGGCCUGAGGCGAGAGAGCGGGGCCGGGGCCGGGCGGGGGCAAAGUUUGGGGCGGGCCCGAGGCGGGGCCGAACCGGCCGCAAAGUCACUGGGACCCCCGGUGGAGCCGAGCCCGACUGGAUUCAGAGAAGGAACUGGGAUAAAGGGCCUCUAUAAAAUGAAGCCAUGAAUCCUCACUGAAUCUUCAGAGAGCAGGUAAGAAAGCCAGGAAUGAUCUGAUGCUGAGUCAGACUGUGUUCUUCUUGUAUCACUACCUGAAUUUUUUGAGAACAUGUGAACCACAUACCUGAAGCAGUGGCCGUCUUUGUGGUGUUCUCUGCAUCCUAGUAGGCCUGUGUUGCCAGAAUUGAGAGGCCAGGGGUGUCAGUGAAAUGGGAGUGACCCUGAGAAAUUCAGUAAGAGCUUCUGCAAAGAAAGGUUCAAUUAAAGAUGUAAGCCAGUGCUGUUGACAUGCCAUCUGGGAAAGCAAUCUUUAAUGUGCUCUAUCAGUGCCAGAGUAGCCAUGCUGUCUGUAUCAUUCACAAGGGAUCUGCCCAGCCAUAAUCUGAAUGAAAUCCUUUCUGGUGAUCCUGCUCUUGCAAUAAUGGCAGUGUAAAGCUAGGGGAUUCUGGUGGCUCUCUGUUCUGUCAGGUUAUUUGUUUCCAGACAAAUAUUAACUUUUCCUGUGAUGGGUGGUGCAGGUGCACCUGAGCUCACUGUUGACAUGCAGUUGAGAGGGGCAGCUGUUUGGUACCCAGCAGCUCUUUUCUUGAUUGUACACUGUCAGAUCACCUUUAUAACAACUCCUUGCUCUCUUCACUUCCUAGUGGAUCACUGCAGAAAGCACCUGUAUCCAUCCCAGCAGUGCUUUGCAUACAGUGUGGUUUAGCUUCUGGGUGUUAAAUCAGCACUUCAGCUACCAGCUCUUAGCUGUGGUAUCAAGAGGAG
RNAcentral lists this long non-coding RNA (1016 nucleotides) under Zonotrichia albicollis (white-throated sparrow). RNAcentral describes it as "lncRNA (ENSZALG00000016379.1)". The record is from RNAcentral. Lineage: Eukaryota; Metazoa; Chordata; Aves; Passeriformes; Passerellidae.